CGAUGAGUUAGAGGCUGCAUCUUAUAAAAGUAAAACGGACGAGAUUCUGGAAAAUUAAAGACUCCGUUUGAAAGGAUAAGUUGCCGAAGUUAGGGUAUAUUCCAUGUAUAUUCUCGCUGGCGGUGUUACCGAACAGGAACACCACUGUCACGUUUUUCCAAAAAAGCGUGGGGAGCUAUCUUCGGA
RNAcentral lists this non-coding RNA (186 nucleotides) under Bacillus sp. (in: firmicutes). RNAcentral's name for it is "Bacillus sp. Lysine sequence". It matches the Rfam family "Lysine riboswitch aptamer". From Rfam's summary of the family: Riboswitches are metabolite binding domains within certain messenger RNAs that serve as precision sensors for their corresponding targets. Allosteric rearrangement of mRNA structure is mediated by ligand binding, and this results in modulation of gene expression. This family includes riboswitches that sense lysine in a number of genes involved in lysine metabolism, including lysC. The record is from RNAcentral. Lineage: Bacteria; Bacillati; Bacillota; Bacilli; Caryophanales; Bacillaceae.